CAGCGUUCUCAGGGCGGGGCGGAACUCCCCACCGGCGGUGACAGGGCGAAAGCCCUGAAGCCCGCGAGCGCCCGGGGGUCCGACAGGGCUUCCGGGGUCAGCAGAUCCGGUGCGAUUCCGGGGCCGACGGUCACAGUCCGGAUGGAAGAGAGCGCGG
RNAcentral lists this non-coding RNA (157 nucleotides) under Teichococcus deserti. RNAcentral's name for it is "Roseomonas deserti FMN riboswitch aptamer (RFN element)". It matches the Rfam family "FMN riboswitch aptamer (RFN element)". From Rfam's summary of the family: The RFN element is a highly conserved domain that is found frequently in the 5'-untranslated regions of prokaryotic mRNAs that encode for flavin mononucleotide (FMN) biosynthesis and transport proteins. This element is a metabolite-dependent riboswitch that directly binds FMN in the absence of proteins. RNAcentral also lists the same sequence under 1 other name. Lineage: Bacteria; Pseudomonadati; Pseudomonadota; Alphaproteobacteria; Acetobacterales; Roseomonadaceae. The record is from Rfam by way of RNAcentral.